AUUCACCAUUAAAGAUAUAGAGGCUCUAAAUAGGGUCUGAAUAAGAAGUCAUUCUUAAGAACUACUUUUUACAUGAAGAGCCUAUUUAUAUAAAAGGUGGCUCAGAACACCAGUUAUACAGAAUUACUGAUAUAAGAUUUAUCCCUACUAAAAAAAAUUCUUUUGCUACCCCUGAUGAAGUCUAACAGACGAAACGCAUUGGGUUUGUCAGCCAUUAGUCAGUGAUCCGGUCUGUGGAAAUACUCCCUUUGUUGAACUCACACCUUUUGAAGGUGAGGGAGUAUACAUAUCUACAUCACUUACCGGACACU
Pseudophryne corroboree (corroboree frog) is the source of this 311-nucleotide long non-coding RNA. RefSeq lists it as uncharacterized. NCBI's taxonomy places the organism in Eukaryota, Metazoa, Chordata, Amphibia, Anura, Myobatrachidae. The transcript is spliced from 3 exons. The record is from RefSeq and is a predicted model, not a curated record.